RNAcentral lists this ribosomal RNA (434 nucleotides) under uncultured Lachnospiraceae bacterium. Its description in RNAcentral is "bacterial SSU rRNA". It matches the Rfam family "Bacterial small subunit ribosomal RNA", at positions 341 to 792 of the family's 1533-position model. The record is from RNAcentral. Lineage: Bacteria; Bacillati; Bacillota; Clostridia; Lachnospirales; Lachnospiraceae.
ACGGAAGGCAGCAGUGGGGAAUAUUGCACAAUGGGGGAAACCCUGAUGCAGCAACGCCGCGUGAGUGAUGAAGUAUUUCGGUAUGUAAAGCUCUAUCAGCAGGGAAGAAAUUGACGGUACCUGACUAAGAAGCCCCGGCUAACUACGUGCCAGCAGCCGCGGUAAUACGUAGGGGGCAAGCGUUAUCCGGAUUUACUGGGUGUAAAGGGAGCGUAGACGGCAUAGCAAGCCAGAUGUGAAAGGUGGGGGCUCAACCCCCAAGCUGCAUUUGGAACUGUUAAGCUAGAGUAUCGGAGAGGUAAGUGGAAUUCCUAGUGUAGCGGUGAAAUGCGUAGAUAUUAGGAGGAACACCAGUGGCGAAGGCGGCUUACUGGACGAUAACUGACGUUGAGGCUCGAAAGCGUGGGGAGCAAACAGGAUUAGAUACCCUGGUA